AUACGGAGGGUGCGAGCGUUAAUCGGAAUUACUGGGCGUAAAGCGCGCGUAGGCGGUUUGGUCAGUCGGAUGUGAAAGCCCCAGGCUCAACCUGGGAAUGGCAUUCGAUACUGCCUGACUAGAGUAUGGUAGAGGGAAGUGGAAUUUCCGGUGUAGCGGUGAAAUGCGUAGAUAUCGGAAGGAACACCAGUGGCGAAGGCGACUUCCUGGGCCAAUUCUGACGCUGAGGUGCGAAAGCGUGGGGAGCAAACAGGAUUAGAAACCCCAGUAGUCC
RNAcentral lists this ribosomal RNA (274 nucleotides) under uncultured bacterium. RNAcentral describes it as "partial 16S ribosomal RNA". It matches the Rfam family "Bacterial small subunit ribosomal RNA", at positions 523 to 796 of the family's 1533-position model. The record is from RNAcentral.